AAGUCGUAACAAGGUUUCCGUAGGUGAACCUGCGGAAGGAUCAUUAGUGAAUUUAGAGCGUAACUUCGGUUAGCUCAGCCUUCAUUUUCCAACUCUGUGCACUAUUGGCGGACUGGGAGCAAGUAAUUGCUAUUCAGUCUGCGGCUCACUAUUAAACAUUAGUUAAAGUAUGUAUAUAAAGACAAAACAAAAAAA
This 195-nucleotide unclassified non-coding RNA is filed under the name plant metagenome. RNAcentral describes it as "partial contains small subunit ribosomal RNA and internal transcribed spacer 1". The stretch from base 1 to 46 matches the Rfam family "Eukaryotic small subunit ribosomal RNA", at positions 1786 to 1831 of the family's 1831-position model. The record is from RNAcentral.